CUAAUGCAGUCGACGAGUUCUGAUUAUUGAAGGGUGCUUGCAUCUUGAUUUAAUUUUGAACGAGUGGCGGACGGGUGAGUAACACGUGGGUAACCUGCCCUUAAGUGGGGGAUAACAUUUGGAAACAGAUGCUAAUACCGCAUAAAUCCAAGAACCGCAUGGUUCUUGGCUGAAAGAUGGCGUAAGCUAUCGCUUUUGGAUGGACCCGCGGCGUAUUAACUAGUUGGUGAGGUAACGGCUCACCAAGGCAAUGAUACGUAGCCGAACUGAGAGGUUGAUCGGCCACAUUGGGACUGAGACACGGCCCAAACUCCUACGGGAGGCAGCAGUAGGGAAUCUUCCACAAUGGACGCAAGUCUGAUGGAGCAACGCCGCGUGAGUGAAGAAGGCUUUCGGGUCGUAAAACUCUGUUGUUGGAGAAGAAUGGUCGGCAGAGUAACUGUUGUCGGCGUGACGGUAUCCAACCAGAAAGCCACGGCUAACUACGUGCCAGCAGCCGCGGUAAUACGUAGGUGGCAAGCGUUAUCCGGAUUUAUUGGGCGUAAAGCGAGCGCAGGCGGUUUUUUAAGUUGAUGUGAAAGCCCUCGGCUUAACCGAGGAAGUGCAUCGGAAACUGGGAAACUUGAGUGCAGAAGAGGACAGUGGAACUCCAUGUGUAGCGGUGAAAUGCGUAGAUAUAUGGAAGAACACCAGUGGCGAAGGCGGCUGUCUGGUCUGUAACUGACGCUGAGGCUCGAAAGCAUGGGUAGCGAACAGGAUUAGAUACCCUCGUAGUCCAUGCCGUAAACGAUGAAUGCUAGGUGUUGGAGGGUUUCCGCCCUUCAGUGCCGCAGCUAACGCAUUAAGCAUUCCGCCUGGGGAGUACGACCGCAAGGUUGAAACUCAAAGGAAUUGACGGGGGCCCGCACAAGCGGUGGAGCAUGUGGUUUAAUUUGAAGCAACGCGAAGAACCUUACCAGGUCUUGACAUCUUUUGAUCACCUGAGAGAUCAGGUUUCCCCUUCGGGGGCAAAAUGACAGGUGGUGCAUGGUUGUCGUCAGCUCGUGUCGUGAGAUGUUGGGUUAAGUCCCGCAACGAGCGCAACCCUUAUGACUAGUUGCCAGCAUUUAGUUGGGCACUCUAGUAAGACUGCCGGUGACAAACCGGAGGAAGGUGGGGAUGACGUCAAAUCAUCAUGCCCCUUAUGACCUGGGCUACACACGUGCUACAAUGGAUGGUACAACGAGUUGCGAGACCGCGAGGUCAAGCUAAUCUCUUAAAGCCAUUCUCAGUUCGGACUGUAGGCUGCAACUCGCCUACACGAAGUCGGAAUCGCUAGUAAUCGCGGAUCAGCACGCCGCGGUGAAUACGUUCCCGGGCCUUGUACACACCGCCCGUCACACCAUGAGAGUUUGUAACACCCGAAGCCGGUGGCGUAACCCUCUAGGGAGCGAGC
This 1435-nucleotide ribosomal RNA is filed under the name Lacticaseibacillus rhamnosus. RNAcentral's name for it is "bacterial SSU rRNA". It matches the Rfam family "Bacterial small subunit ribosomal RNA". The record is from RNAcentral. Lineage: Bacteria; Bacillati; Bacillota; Bacilli; Lactobacillales; Lactobacillaceae.